Apis cerana (Asiatic honeybee) is the source of this 408-nucleotide long non-coding RNA. RefSeq lists it as uncharacterized. The record is from RefSeq and is a predicted model, not a curated record. Lineage: Eukaryota; Metazoa; Arthropoda; Insecta; Hymenoptera; Apidae.
UUUUAUCGUGAAUUAUUAAUAAUUCAUAUAAUUAAUACGAUGAAACAAUUUUAAUUUAAUAUAAAAAUUUAAGAUUUUCGAAAUACAAUUAAUAGAUUGUGAUUCAUCGAUUGAACGAUGAAUAUCAAUAGUUAACCUCGUCGAAAAUUUCCGUUUACGUAAUAAUAGAAUCAUUAUAUGCACAGAUGUAUUCUGUUUCUUUUUCUUUUUUUUUUUUUUUUUUUUUAGUUUUUACAGCGAGCACGAAAAGUUACGUAAAGAAGGCAGCGAGCCUCGAAGCGUGGAAAUAUUAAAAUUGAUGUCCACAUUAGAUUCAAAAUGAUUCAUGCAUUUCCUGACGAAUAAUUCGAGGUGGUUGUUCGCUUUUGUUGCGCAUGGGGACGAAAUGGUAUCCUUGGUAACUUUGGU